This 465-nucleotide ribosomal RNA is filed under the name uncultured bacterium. RNAcentral's name for it is "partial 16S ribosomal RNA". It matches the Rfam family "Bacterial small subunit ribosomal RNA", at positions 28 to 507 of the family's 1533-position model. The record is from RNAcentral.
GAUGAACGCUGGCGGCGUGCUUAACACAUGCAAGUCGAACGGAAAGGCCACAGCUUGCUGUGGUACUCGAGUGGCGAACGGGUGAGUAACACGUGGGUGAUCUGCCCUGUACUUCGGGAUAAGCUUGGGAAACUGGGUCUAAUACCGGAUAGGAAUCACAUGUGGGUGUGUGGUUGGAAAGCUUUUGCGGUAUGGGAUGAGCUCGCGGCCUAUCAGCUUGUUGGGGGGGGACUGCCUACCAAGGCGUCGACGGGUAGCCGGCCUGAGAGGGUGUACGGCCACAUUGGGGGGGGGAUACGGGGCAGACUCCUACGGGGGGGGGCAGUGGGGAAUAUUGCACAAUGGGCGCAAGCCUGAUGCAGCGACGCCGCGUGGGGGAUGACGGCCUUCGGGUUGUAAACUCCUUUCGUCAGGGACGAAGCGAAAGUGACGGUACCUGGAGAAGAAGCACCGGCUAACUACGUG